This 254-nucleotide ribosomal RNA is filed under the name uncultured bacterium. RNAcentral describes it as "partial 16S ribosomal RNA". It matches the Rfam family "Bacterial small subunit ribosomal RNA", at positions 524 to 776 of the family's 1533-position model. The record is from RNAcentral.
UACGGGGGGGGCAAGCGUUGUUCGGAAUUACUGGGCGUAAAGGGCUCGUAGGUGGCCAACUAAGUCAGACGUGAAAUCCCCGGGCUUAACCUGGGAACUGCAUUGGUGACUGGCAGGCUUUGAGUGUGGCAGAGGGAGGUAGAAUUCCACGUGUAGCAGUGAAAUGCGUAGAUAUGCGGAGGAACACCGAUGGCGAAGGCAAUCUCCUGGGCCUGCACUGACGCUCAUGCACGAAAGCGUGGGGAGCAAACAGG